AUAAGUUUCUAGUCCAGUAUCCUGGGUAAUCCCUGUGGAGCCACAGGAACAUUCAGGAAGCUGUAUGAAGAAGUCUGUGUAUGCAAAGAGGCAAAGAGAACAGGCAAAAUUUGCUCAUCCUCAUUUAUGGGGCUGCAAAUGUCUGCCAUGGUCGUGAACUUUUCUCCCGGCAGGGGAUGGCCCUGCCUGCACAACACCGAGACCUUCAAGCAAAUGAAACUGGGAGACACUGAAAGGAAACACUGGGGUACCUUUAACCACCUCUGCUGCUCCCAGUUUUACCAACAAAUGGUUUCCACAAAGAAUUAGGUUUUAGUGGCUGACGGACGAGACAUCAGUUGAAGACAGAGGCAAACAGAUGGGAUAAUAAACCUG
Vidua chalybeata is the source of this 375-nucleotide long non-coding RNA. RefSeq lists it as uncharacterized. Lineage: Eukaryota; Metazoa; Chordata; Aves; Passeriformes; Viduidae. The transcript is spliced from 3 exons. The record is from RefSeq and is a predicted model, not a curated record.